This 7797-nucleotide long non-coding RNA is filed under the name Capsicum annuum. RNAcentral's name for it is "long non-coding RNA (CANN_LNC009875)". The record is from RNAcentral. Lineage: Eukaryota; Viridiplantae; Streptophyta; Magnoliopsida; Solanales; Solanaceae.
UGUUUAUUACGAAUCUGUGUGCUUUCCUCUGCUUUAUAUUCCUGCACUCCUGCUUUACUCUGUUUUAUAUUCCCUAUGGGUGCCGUAUUUAUGUUAUGUCAUCUGCUGCUGUGCUGUACUAUGUGUUUGUGUGAUAUCUCGUAACUUGAGCCGGGGGUCUUUCGGAAACAGCCUUUCUACUUCAUCAGAGGUAGAGGUAUGGACUGCGUACAUCUUACCCCCCCCAGACCCCACUAAGUGGGAAUACACUGGGUUUGUUGUUGUUGUUGUUGUUCUCUCGCGUGAAUUUAAUUAAACCUCACUAGUUAUAGCUCUGUAUUUGCCUGCUUGUCUAUACUUAGGGGUGGCAACAUCAGUCCUAAAAUCAUGACCUGCCCAACCUAAAUUUAGGUUUGGGGGGUAAUGACCCGCUUAUUUUAUUAAAUUAGCCUAUUUUGACCCGCUUAACUCUGCCCACAAAACUGUGUUGAUUUUUUUUAAUCAGGCAAAACGUAUUCUCAUCUUAUUUGUCCUAAGUCGGGGGUUUAUCGGAAACAGCCUCUCUACUUCAUCUAAGGUAGUGGUAUGGACUGCGUACAUCUUACCCUCCCCGACCCCACCAUUGUGGGAAUACACCGGGCAUGUUGAUGUUGUUGCAAAACGUAUUUUCAUCCAUAAACAUGGCCACACAUUUGGCCAUUUACAUGAGGUAUACAAAAAAGUAAAGAAUCUAUAAUAAUAAAUGAUUUUCAGCAACUCCAACCAUCUCCUAUACAAAUUGGAAUUCUAUGGGUGCACCAAAAGAAAAUAAGGGACCGGAUGCUUCUCCUCAAAUGAGAAAAGCUCGAUUCUACCCCCAAAAGCUCUCCUAUUUCUUUCUCUCCACACGACUCAUAUCAACGCGAGUGGAACCACGUUCCAAGCCUUGCAUCAUCUCCUCCUUCCCCGCUAUUCCAACUAAUCAUCAAUUCUUUUGCACAAAAUUGUGUUGAUAUGCAGCCCAAAUUGAUUGAAGAGAAAUAUUAUCUAAGUAUUUGUAAACAAAAAAUUAUUUGAUCCCAUUGUAUAAGAACGAGGGUGACAUUCAGAAUUGCAACACCUACAGAGGUAUCAAUCUACUGAGCCGCACUAUGAAGGUGUGGGAGAGCUAAGGGUAAGGAGGAAGAUGAGGAACAUGUUUAUUACUGAGAACCAGUUCAGAUUCAUGUCGGGGCAUUCAACUACAUAAGCCAUGCACCUCAUUAGGAGACCGAUGGAACAAUAUAGGAGAAGGAAGCGGGACGUUCACAUGGUGUUCAUCAACAUAGAAAAAGAUUAUGACAAGGUUCCGAGGGAAGAGGGAGGUUUUAUGGAGGUGCGUGGAGGCUACAAGUGUUCUUAUGGCGUACACUAGAGUGAUUAAGGAUACGUAUGAUCGAGCCAAAACACAGGUAAGCAAAACUAGUGGGUAGGGUGGGUUUGGGGGUGGGAGUGGGAGUGGGGGAGGGGUCCUCAGCAUUUCCGCAUUUCCAAUUGUGAUGAGGCUACACCACGAAUCAGCUCGUAACCCAUUUUCAUUUGCCUCAGUGAUGAAUGAAUUGACUCGGCAUAUCCAACCAUAGUGUCUGUUAUUUGCUGAGAUCGACCAAACAACAAAGACAACAGAGUUAACUCUAAGCUUGAGGUUUGGCGACAAACCCUUUUAAGUCUAAAGUUUCAAGUUUAGCAAGACCAAGACAUAAUACUUGGAGAGCAAGUUAAGUGACGGAACAUAUGAGGAUAUUACGGAAGUGAGGUUUAAUUCACAAGUUAUCCAUAAAAGAAUAAGCGUUAAGUAUCUUGGGUCUUCUAUCUAGAGUAAUGGAGAAAUCGAAGAAAUCGACAAAGAUGUCACACAACAUAUUGGAGAAUGGUGGGUGAAAUGGAGGCUCUAAUCCGGAGUCUUGUGUGAUAGGAAAUUGUCAUCAAAACUUAAAAGGCAAGUUCCACAAACCGGUGGUUAGACCGGCUAAGUUGUAUGAAGCGAAAUAUUGGCUAGUCAAGAACUCCAUGUUCAGAAGUUGAAAGCUGCGAAAAUGAGGAUCUUGAGGUACAUGUGUGGGCAUGCUAGGAGAGAUAAGAAUAGAAAUGAGGAUAUCCAGAACAAGGUAAGAAUGGCCUCAACGGAGAAUUAAGAUGCGAGAAGCGGGACUUAGAUGGGGUUUCUUUCGUAAGUAAAGAUUUUAUUUAAAGAAUACCAAGAUGGUACAGCAAAAGGUACACGAAUCAGCAGCAAACUCUAAACCAAUACAACAUAUCAUCUCCUACCAAAUACAAAAAUUCCACAUACUAUCCAUCAUAUCUAAAGUUCUGCUAAUAACACCAAAAAUACAGAUUUUUAAUGCAUUUCUUUUUCAACUCUAAAAAUCUGUAGCUUCUUCCCGUCAAAGCAUGACUUAAUCCUUUCUAGCCAAAAGGUCCACAUUAUGCAAUUGGGAAUAGUUUUCCAUACUGGCUUUAAGCUCUUUUUAACCUCCUGUGAUUGCCACACUUCCAACAAACUACUAAUUUUCCCUGGUAACACCAAUAAUAUGCUCAUUAUGCUACAGAAAAAUUCCCAACACUGUCGUGAAAAUCUGCAAUGCAAGAAUAGAUGUUCAACUGUUUCCUUCUCUAAAUUGCAGAAACAGCAUCUGCUGCACAUCGAAAAACCUCUCCUUUGUAACUAAUUUUGUGUUUGGCAUGCAUCUCUAGCUGCUAACCAACCAAAAAAAAAUGUUUUCGUAGGCUCUUUGGUUAUCCAAAUCAUCUUCCAUGGCCAGUUAGGAAUUUCUUAACGGAGCUGUUGCAACAACAUUUUGUAGCAGUUAUUGACUGAGAAUACCUUGUCCUUACUUUUAACCCAAACCAGCCUGUCUGCUUUGUCUUGUUCAACAUAAAUUCAGUUGUUGAAGUAGCUGACAAAAACUUUCUAUUUCCCAAUCAUUUAGAAAUCUUCUAAAAGUAAUAUUCCAUCCAGAUGCAGAAUUAAAUUCUGCGAUACAACCCUCUUUAUUCAAAGCACAAUUGAACAAGACAGGAAAUCUGCUUUUGAAACUUGAUUUCCACACCAAGUGUCCAUCCAAAAUUUAAUCCUCCUACCAUUUCCCACCUCCAAUCUAGUGAACUGUAGCAGUACAUCCCACCAACCCCCACAAGUUUUUCAGCUGUGAAGGAAUUUGUUUCUAUCCUACCUUUGAAUCAUAUAUUGCAUCCAGAACUUGCUGCCAAAACUCAUCUCUUUCCUUGCUAUAUCUCCAGAGCUAUUUAAAAAGUAAACUUUUAUUACACAUUUUCAAAUUCCUUGCCCCAAGUCCACCAUCCUUUUUUCUUUAAUAACCAUUUGCCCACUUGAUCAGAUGAGUCCUUUUUUUUUUUGAGCCCCAUCCCAUGGGAAGUUUCUCCUUAUAGAGUCUAUCUUCUUUUCAACUGUUAUAGGCAUACUGAAUAAAGACAUAGUGUAUGUGGGAAUUCCAUCCAAGACACUGUUGAUAAGAAUUAGGCCGCCCCCAAAGAUAGGAGGUAUUCUUUUUCCCAUGGAGUGAACUUAUUCUUGCAUCAAUCAACGAUCCCCCGCCAAAUGCUACUGUCCUUUCUUUUUGCCCCUAAAGGCAGCCCCAAAUAGGCAGUAAGAAGUUCUCUACUUUACAAUCCAGACUGUCGGCCAACUCUUCUAUAUUCUCAUCAGCAUUUAUACUGAAGAUGCUAAUUUUGGCCAGGUUAACUCGUAGCCCAGUGAUUGCCUCAAAACAAAAGCAACACCCUUCUCAAAUGUAGAAUAUGAUCUCUAUCAGCUUCACAAAACAAGAGGGAGCCAUCGGCAUAGAAAAUAAGUAUGAUUUAAGUAUCAUACCAUCCUCUUCAUUUCUGCCAAUUUUGAGCCCCCUAAUCCAACCCGGGAUUUCUUCCUUCCUCAACAUAUUGUUGAGGAUUUCCAUUACCAAAACAAAAAGAUAAGGUGACAGAGGAUCUCCCUGUCUAAUACCUCACCUCUAUGAGAGCUGUAGAAUCCUUGAGGGUUACCACUGAUUAAAAUGGAAAACUUCACUAUUGAAAUGCAAAACCUUAUCCAUUUUUGUCCAUCUCUCACAAAAUUCAUCAACUUUAACAAUUCUAGUAAGCAGUGUCAAUUAACAUGAUCAUACGCCUUCUCUAGAUCAAUCUUGCAAGCCACCCCUUUUUCCUUUCUCUUGAACAGAUUAUCUAGACUCUCAUAUGCUACCGGGGGUGGGGUUCGGGCAUGUGAAGAGGAGAUGCAAGGAUGCACAGUGCGGAUGUGUGAGGGGUUGGUUUUGGAUGAUUAUAGGAGAGGCAAAGAAUGUCGAGGAAGCAUUGGAUAGAGUGACUAGUACAUGAUGCAGCUCCAGCUUACCAAGGACGUGACCUUGGAUAGAAGAUUAUGGAGGACAUGGAUUACGGUAAAGGAUUAGUUAGGUAGUUGAGGGUUGUUAUGGCCUAAGUUGCUUGGACUCGAGUGCGGGUGUCGGACACAGGCGCGGAUCCGAGUGUCGGAUCCUUCAUGAUCGAAUUUUUGAGAUUCAGGGAUAUGGAUCUGGAUACGGAUACGGGUGCGGGGACUCGGCAAAAAGAAACAAAAAUUUAUACAUAUAGUUCAAAAUUGACAAGUAUUUUAAAACUAAUAAAAAAUGAGAAUAUUAAAAUGUUCAAUAUAUACUUACGCUAAAUUUAGUUUCAUUAAAGAAUGUGUGCUUUCAAAGCAUAUACAUUAAUCUUUAAUUUAUAAUUAAAUAAUUAUAAUAUUUAUCCUUAUUUUAUAAGCUGUGGUACUCUGGGAGCGAGAGGCGUAGGAAUGGAGUUGGCAUCUUAGUAGAUGAAGAGCUUAGAGGUCAGGUAGUGGAGGUGAAGAGGAUCAACGAUAGGUUGAUGACUAUUAAGUUGGUCAUUCGGGGGUUUACCCUGAACGUGUGUAGUGCUUAUGCGCCGCAAGUGGGAUCGGAGGGGGAGGAGAAGAUGCGGUUCUGGGAGGCUUUGGAGGAGGUGGUGAGAGGCGUGCCCAGUUCGGAGAAGAUUGUUGUAGCAGGGGAUUUCAACGGGCACAUCGGGGCGCUACCGGGAGGCUUUGGGGAUGUGCAUGGUGGUUUUGGUUUUGGGGAGAGAAAUGAAGAGGGUGCGACCCUAUUGGAGUUUGCGAGGGCGUUUGGGCUGGUGGUGGUGAACUCGGGCUUCCCGAAGAAGGACGAGCACCUGAUCACUUUUCGGAGCGCGAUAGCCAGGACCCAGAUUGACUUUUUGUUGCUUAGGAAAGGGGAUAGGGCGUUGUGUAAAGACUGUAAAGUCAUCCCGAGUGAGAAUCUUUCGACCCAACAUAGGCUCUUGGUUAUGGAUUUGGGUAUAAAGAAGAAUAGAAAGAGGAGGAGUAAGGAGUGUAGACCGAGAAUUAAGUGGGGCGGCUUGACGCCAGUGAAUGCGUGGGAGAUAGGGGAGAGGUUGGCGGGAAUGGGGGUGUGGGAGUGUAGGGGGGACGUGGAUAAUAUGUGGGACAGGGCGGCAACGUGCAUCAGGGAGAAUGCAAGGGAGGUGUUGGGUGUUUCUAGGGGCCGGGCCGGACAUCAUCGGGGGGAUUGGUGGUGGAAUGAAGAGGUGGGGAAGAAAGUGGAGACCAAGAAAGAGGCGUAUGCUAAGUUGGUGGAAAGUAAGGACGAAGAAGAGAAGCGGGUAAACAGGAAAGAGUACAAGCUAGCGAGGAAGGAGGCGAAGUCAGCGGUCACGGCAGCUAAGACGGCCGCUUUUGAGAGCUUGUAUGCAGGGUUACAGGGGAAAGGAGGGGAGAAAAAGUUGUUCCGACUCGCUAAGGCUAGGGAGAGGAAGGGUCGUGACCUCGAUCAGGUGAGGUGCAUUAAGGGGGAGGACGGUAGAGUGUUGGUGGAGGACGGCCACAUAAAGAAGAGAUGGCAGUCGUACUUUCAUAGGCUCUUGAAUGACGAGGGGGACAGAGCUAUUGUGUUAGGGGAACUGGAGCACUCAGGGGAGUGUCGGGAUUUUAGCUAUUGUAGACGUUUUAAGGUAGACGAGGUUAGACAGGCAGUCCGCAGGAUGCGAAGGGGUAGGGCGACGGGGCCGGAUGAGAUACCGGUGGAGUUUUGGAAGUUCGUUGGAGAGGCUGGUGUAAGGUGGUUGACUGCAUUGUUCAAUGAAAUUUUCAGGACGGCAAAGAUGCCCGAGGCGUGGAGGUGGAGUACCAUGAUCCCCCUCUAUAAGAAUAAGGGGGACAUUCAGUGUUGCAAUAACUAUAGGGGGAUUAAGUUACUGAGUCACUCUAUGAAGAUCUGGGAGAGAGUGGUCGAGGUGAGGCUGAGACGGAUAGUGUCUAUCUCGGAAAACCAGUUCGGAUUUAUGCCCGGCCGCUCGACGACGGAGGCAAUUCACCUGGUACGGCGGUUGGUGGAGCAAUAUAGGGAAAGGAAGAAGGAUUUGCACAUGGUGUUCAUCGACCUAGAAAAGGCGUACGACAAAGUCCCCAGGGAGGUGCUUUGGAGAUGCUUGGAGGUGAGUGGAGUACCGCAGGCAUAUAGCAGAGUAAUUAAGGAUAUGUAUGAGGGAGCGAAAACCCAGGUGAGGACGGCGGGAGGAGACUCAGAGCAUUUCACUGUCCUGACAGGAUUGCAUCAGGGAUCUACUCUUAGUCCCUUUUUGUUUGCGCUAGUAAUGGAUGUGUUAACGCGGCGUAUCCAAGGGGAGGUGCCGUGGUGUAUGCUUUUUGCAGACGAUGUAGUCCUGAUAGAUGAGACGCGAGGGGGUGUGAACGACAAAUUAGAGCUGUGGAGGCAAACUCUGGAGUCUAAAGGGUUCAGGGUGAGCAGAACCAAGACAGAGUAUGUGGAAUGUAAGUUUAAUGACGUAAGGCGAGAGAAUGAGGUAGUGGUGAGGCUAGAAGCGCAGGAGGUAAAGAAAAGGGAUAAGUUCAAGUACCUCGGGUCCGUGAUCCAGAGUAACGGUGAGAUUGACGAGGAUGUCUCGCACCGUAUCGGGGCGGGAUGGAUGAAGUGGAAACUUGCAUCGGGGGUGCUGUGUGAUAAGAAGGUGCCGCCCAAGCUUAAAGGUAAAUUCUAUAGGGUGGUAGUCCGUCCGGCCUUGCUGUAUGGAGCGGAGUGUUGGCCAGUUAAGAACUCCCACACCCAAAGAAUGAAGGUGGCAGAAAUGCGGAUGUUGCGCUGGAUGUGUGGACUGACCCGAAGGGAUAGAGCUCGGAAUGAGACUAUCCGGGAGAAGGUUGGGGUGACUUCAGUGGAGUGUAAGAUGCGGGAAGCACGAUUGAGAUGGUUCGGACACGUGAAGAGGAGGGGCAUGGAUGCCCCGGUCCGUAGGUGUGAGAGGCUAGCGUUGGAUGGUUUUAGACGGGGUAGGGGUAGACCGAAGAAGUACUGGGGUGAGGUGAUUAGGCGGGACAUGGAACAGUUACAGCUUACCGAGGACAUGACCCUAGAUAGGAAGGUCUGGAAGACGCGAAUUACGGCAGAGGAUUAGGGCCUGUUCGGGUCGCUAAUGUAGGGAGGUAAUUGGUGGGGGUGUAUUCCUGGUAUGAUUCCGUAUUCAAUGUUCUGUUCCGUGUUCCGUGUUCUAUGUUUGUUACGAAUCUGUGUGCUUUCCUCUGCUUUAUAUUCCUGCAUCCCUGCUUUACUCUGUUUUAUAUUCCUUAUGGCUGCAGUAUCUAUGUUAUGUCAUCUGCUUCUGUGCUGUACUAUGUGUUUGUGUGAUAUCUUGUGCCUUGAGCCGGGGGUCUUUCGGAAACAGCCUUUCUACUUCAUCAGAGGUAGAGGUAUGGACUGCGUACAUCUUACCCCCCCAGACCCCACUAAGCGG